This 73-nucleotide transfer RNA is filed under the name Streptomyces sp. NRRL S-104. Its description in RNAcentral is "tRNA-Arg". It matches the Rfam family "tRNA". From Rfam's summary of the family: Transfer RNA (tRNA) molecules are approximately 80 nucleotides in length. Their secondary structure includes four short double-helical elements and three loops (D, anti-codon, and T loops). The record is from RNAcentral. Lineage: Bacteria; Bacillati; Actinomycetota; Actinomycetes; Kitasatosporales; Streptomycetaceae.
CCGUAGCUCAGGGGAUAGAGCAACGGCCUCCGGAGCCGUGUGCGCAGGUUCGAAUCCUGCCGGGGGCACUCCA